RNAcentral lists this long non-coding RNA (3586 nucleotides) under Gigantopelta aegis. RNAcentral describes it as "uncharacterized LOC121382782". The record is from RNAcentral. Lineage: Eukaryota; Metazoa; Mollusca; Gastropoda; Neomphalida; Peltospiridae.
UUUGGUUUCCAACAAUUAAUGUAAUUUUUAUUUAUUAUCAAUUUUUAGAGAAAUAAGGUCGCCUUUAAGGAUCAUAACUGUCAAAAAUGGUUAAAAUGUCAAACUAUCUAUAAUAGUAUAUGAUAAAGCUAUGCACAAACUUUCAGCUCAAUAUCUCCAAGCAUUGUCAAACACCAUCUGGAAAAGUAUUAGUGGGACAGACCGACAGAAGGACGGAGAUGAAACCGUUUGGACCGGUAAGGGACUAAUAACCACUGAUAAUACCUCAACAGUUUAUUAACUGUAGUUUUUGUCUUUGCAACAGUAAAUGAUUUAAUACGUUGAUGCAAAACUGCAGAUUUACGUACUAAUUUUUAUUCCAGGUAUUCAAUAAUGAGCAGCUGUUGUUGAUGAGGAAGCAGUGAAAUGUGAGGACCGUUCAAUACACUAAAUGAAGAAAAUCCAGUCAAAAGUGACGAGACAUUUUUAACAAUGUUAUUAACACUAAGAAUGUGCAUUUCUUCUCCAGUUGUUUUUGAGACCACCCUUGAUCUCAUCUUAAUUGCUUACUGGAUACGAGUGUCGAGCCAGUAAAGCCGAGCUAAUGCAUUUUGCAUUGAUUUCACAAAUCAAUACAUUCAUUUCCCUUGUUAUUUCCAGUGUCGUUGGGGUGAAGAGCAGAUGGUUGGUCGAGGAAUCAAUUAGAAAGCCAACAUAAUGCGUACAUUGUGAUAAUGGUCAUGUUGUCCCGAAGACAAUUGAAUUCAUCAACACUGCUAAUGCAUAUGUGUGCUACAAGUGAAAAGCCUUGUUCCGUGUGUUGUGUGUGUGGCAUUUUUAUGUAGAUAUUUGUCAAAUCCAAACUGAUAAUAUUCCCGGUGGUUGGUGUGCAUGACAAACACAUCGAAGAUAAAAGGAAAAUGCUGUUAAUUGACAUGAAUUAUUGCCUUCAGUAUACGUUUUCUUUCAACUCACAUCGGUAAACAAAUGUACUUCAUACUGGGGCCAGUCUUCCACAGCCCCACCACAGAACAGUUGGACAUAACGAAAAUUCAACAAAGAUCUUUUCAUGAAAAUUGGUGGCUAUAUAGCCAUGUGGAUCAAAAUAUUAUCAGAGCUAUUAUCUAACCAAAGAAGCCAGUUAAAAAAUAUUGAGGUACAGUAAUGUACGGUCUUUUACAGACUAUGGCUAUUUUUAAACUAAAAGGGACACAUUUACCAGGCCACUUGACCCUUGCCUGCAUCUUCUUGUCUUCCACUUUAAAAGGUAUAUUGAAAAAAACCUGUUCAAAUUCACAAAGUACAAUUAGUACAAUGUAGUCAUUUUAUAUCCAUGCUGCAAUACUGGGGCAAUUAGAAAUUCUCACAUUUUGGAUAUAUAGAUCCUUUUUUUUCCUCUCUCAAAGAUUACCAUCCACAUUUCUUGAUGUCUAUAAAAACACAAUGUAUUUAUAACAUGAUCUUUAAUGCAGUUGAUUUGGAUGGAUUCUCCUCCGUAGAUCAAAUGUUUUCCCCAGAGAUCGACAACUUGGCAUGUUCAGGUGACCGUUUUGUGCCUAAUAUUUGAUGAAUAUGAUAUAAAAUGGUGGUAUCGUCCGUUAUUCUGAACUUGCUACUGGUAUACUGUGUGCCCGUCGGUUUAAAAGUGUAUGUAACUAUUCAACUGCAGCCUAUGUAGCAUCGUUUUCUCCUCUAGACCAUUACCUUCAGUCUCGAGUAUGGUCGGGUGAGGUUAAAUAGACAGUCUCCUCUAGACCAUUACCUUCAGUCUCGAGUAUGGUCGGGUGAGGUUAAAUAGACAGUCUCCUCUAGACCAUUACCUUCAGUCUCGAGUAUGGUCGGGUGAGGUUAAAUAGACAGUUUUAUUCAGACACAUCAUAUUAGUUCCGAUAGCCCACAUAAUUUAACCAAUAUUUAAUAUAUACUCACAAAAGUAAUUAAGGGCCAGUAGAUAUUUUCAAAACAUUUCAUUAUGGUACAAAAUGCAUUUGUUUUUGGUUUUACAAAGCUGGCAUUUUCAUUCAGUGAUAAUAUUGGUCAAGAUUCACUCAAACUUGGAAAUCAUCUGUGAUCAAAACUUGCUAAAAUAUUAUACUGACCAAAAGCUUACCUAGUUACCUUAAGUUACUUUCAAAACUUGUGGUACACUGGUUAACAAUAUUAAUAUUAUACUAGUGUAUAAAGUAUUAAACAUGAAAAACUUGACAUUUGUUGAAUUGAAGAUUUUGCAGAACUAGUAAGAACUACAAUUAUCUUUGGGCACUCAUUAAAAUUUUAUAUACUAUUAUCGGUUUAACACCACCACUAUCAAUAUUUCCACUGGCUUUGUGCAAAGCACUCUAUACUCUGAAUUUAAGGUACAUAAUCUUCAUUUCAAUUAUCCAUUCAUGGUGUGAUCAAUACUGAGAUAACAUCAAUCCAGCUGAUGUAGGCCAUUGUAGUUCUGCUAUAAAUGACUAAAGAAUCAAUGCCUGAAGCCAUCAAUGUAAAAUGAAGCCCUUUGUUCUGGCUGCCUGCUGUUUACUACAGCAAUAACCUAUUCCAUGCAACACAUUAAUUCCCUGUGGACUGGGUAUUGAUCUACAACUUUCCACAGAAUUAACCAGUAGAGCAUAGCCAAAACAUAAUUGAAUUUUAACUAUUAAUAGGGUAGUCUUUUCAACUAGACUGCUGAUUAAGCACUUUUCUGUUCUUGUAAGUGUUUUUCAUCAAUGAACAUAGAAAUAGGUUUCUAAGUAUUCCAUCAUCAAUCAAUGAGUCAGACUACAAAUAAAUAGGCUACCCAUGUUUGAAAGUUACUUUGUAAUGAACAUUAAAUGACCUACAUACAUUGUACAUGCCUUUUGCUAUAUCAUAACAAAAUUAACUGAAGAAAAAAAUAAUGAAAAACUCAUUGCUUCGUGACAAAAUCUCAAUGAUUGCAUGAAAUUAUUUUUCCAGAUUAAAAUAUUGUUUUUAAAAAUUUGCUUUUGGCUAAUGGCAGAGCUAGUACAGUAAUAAAAAAUAAUGAUAGAUCGUUUGUGAUUGUCCAGUUGAUUUUACUCCAUACCAGUGCACACAAACACCCACUGUCUUUCAAAAUAUACAUCAGAUGUUUUCCUAUACUGUUCAGUGUGUUGUGUAUUUCAUGCACGCAACAUCAUUUCUGACAAAAGUGAAGUUGGGCGUAAUAUAUUUUCAUAUGAGUGGUACACAUCAUCAUUUUAUAACAAGUCCAGCUUUCAGUUGUAAGUUUCCAUGCAUUGAGGACCAUAAUAAUAAUUAAUUAACAAUAAUAUAAUAAAACAAUGUAAAAAUGCAUGUCACAUUUCAGCACGAGAAAUCACAUUAAUGGAAAGGGGCCAAGUCCUAUGCAACAUCACUUCAUAUAUAACUAAAUUAGUGGUUUCUUUUUCUUUCUCAUUUACAAAUAAAUAUCUAUUUUCAUUUAGUAAUGAUAACACAACAAAUUAUCAGGGGAAAUAAUCUUUUUAUUAAGAAUGAUAGGACAAUACUAAAAUUUCCUAGCUGUUAUGCGUAACACUUCACUUUUUUCGCCAAUGAUUAAGUGGAGCAAUGUACAGUUUGCUCCAUCAGAUUUCUUUUUUUUUUUUAGAAAAAUAAUCUG